Molecule: ribosomal RNA, 447 nt
Filed under: uncultured bacterium
Lineage: Bacteria
Description: SSU rRNA
Rfam family: Bacterial small subunit ribosomal RNA
Source: RNAcentral
AGAGCGAACGCUGGCGGCAGGCCUAACACAUGCAAGUCGAGCGCGUGUAGCAAUACACGAGCGGCAGACGGGAGAGUAACACGUGGGAACGCGCCCUUCGGUUCGGAAUAACUCAGGGAAACUUGAGCUAAUACCGGAUACGCCCUUACGGGGAAAGAUUUAUUGCCGAAGGAACGGCCCGCGUCCGAUUAGCUAGUUGGUGAGGUAACGGCUCACCAAGGCGACGAUCGGUAGCUGGUCUGAGAGGAUGACCAGCCUCACUGGGACUGAGACACGGCCCAGACUCCUACGGGAGGCAGCAGUGGGGAAUAUUGGACAAUGGGCGCAAGCCUGAUCCAGCCAUGCCGCGUGGAUGAUGAAGGCCUUAGGGUUGUAAAGUCCGUUUUAACGGGGAAGAUAAUGACGGUACCGUAGAAUAAGCCCCGGCUAACUCGUGCCAGCAGCCGC